Molecule: long non-coding RNA, 245 nt
Organism: Lontra canadensis (Northern American river otter)
Lineage: Eukaryota; Metazoa; Chordata; Mammalia; Carnivora; Mustelidae
Exons: 3
Source: RefSeq, a predicted model, not a curated record
CUGGAGGUUUCCAUUCAGACAAGUGACCAAGACUCUCUUCAGAAAUUUCUCUUGAGAAAUGCAGGUCAUCUGAGAAUCAUUCAAGCCUCCUCCUGAGGAUAUGAUAUGGAUUUUGAUUCACUUUCUGUUGGGGAGAGGGAGUUAGAAGAGUUUUCCUUCGUCUUUUCUACCAUAAUAGCUAAGAUCCAAUCUUUUUCAAUCAUGGCUCUAAUUUUCACACAAGGGACCAAGAAGAGCUGAGGAUU